GUAAUCUGUCCAGGAUUUUGGUGCCAGCCCUUGUUUAAGAGUUUCAUGCAGGAUAUUUAUCCACAGCUCUCCAGCUGAAACGUCCACAUAAGGCUUGAGCUUGACCUUGGAUGGAAUGUCCAUGGCCUCUAGCUGCAACCGUCAAGUCGGACGCAUAUCCCAUACUGAAAAUAUGGUUUAUCGUGUUCGAAAUAUCGGACACGGAUUUUGGAUGUAGAACAGCUAAUGGUGUUUGCAGUUCAUAAGAGGAUAUAUCAGAGGAACCAAAAUGAGGAGGAAUUGUUGGGGCUGCAAAAAGGUGGUUGGUGCUGUCAGAGUGAAUGGCGGGCUGGCCCCUACUCUGUUUCAUGCUUCUUCAAGCUGAGUGUCUGAGGAGUCAGAUAUCUUGGACCCACUUCAUUUUUUCUUCAUAAGAGUAUAGAUUGUGCUUUGACAGCUCUUACCAACGAGCUAUAUAGUUCUUUCUAUAUAAUUUUCAUGAAUUUCUUGUUCAUAUUUAGCUUUGUAUAUGUUCGUUUGUCGAUUUUUAUCGUUAUGGUAUAGAUAUGAGAUCAAACCAUCAAAAGCUUAAAAGGGUAAGCACAAUCUAGAUUACUUACUACAAAUUUUGGUCGAAACCAUCGUAAGGGGCUCUCGAGCCGAUCCUUGUAAGGUCAAAGACUCAAUACAUAUGCACGUGAACUAGCUCAUUAGUAGUUCUUAGAAAAAGUAAAUAGAAUAAGCAUGAUAGCUAUGUUGAAGGUAGACAAAUAAACAUAUUUCAAAGGGGAAAUAAAAAUCGAACGUAGAAACCGUCGAUUCUUGUACGUCUGUUCUUAAAUCUCUUCAUUCACUGUGUUCUUGAUUAUAAAUUUCAAAAGGCUGUUCAAACAGUGAUGGUCAAUAUUUUGUUAUUCUCUCAAUUGCAUUGAACUGCAUCUAGAUUUUGAUGUAUGUUUCUCUUUGAUUCAGGGACUAAAAGUUGUUUUUUUUCCUUUCUAGGUGCUGAAGAAGAAGUGUCUGAAAAGGAAAGAUGAAAGAUAUAUGUAGAUGGAAUGAGUGCAGAGCAGCAGCAGCAAAGAAAGCUCAAUUUACUGCAUGUGAUAAUUCCUUUGCUUUUUUGUGGACUUAAAAGGUAUGUGGCUUCAUCAUCAAACUUCUAAUGGAGGGUAAGAGUGAGAGAGAGAGAGAGAGAGAAGAUUGGGAAGGGGUGGGGCCAUAGACAUGUGAUCUGCAUAAGGAGGGUAGUGGCCCAAGAAAAGGAAGGGAUUGAAAAGAGGAGGAGGAGGAGGAGGAGGAGGAGGCUUAGAUAAAGAAUGUUGAGGGUAUGUUAAUAUCAGGAUUAUAAAAUUGAUUCCAUUGUUUGAUUGGAUAGCAUUGAUUCUAAUUUCAGUAUCACUUGCC
Molecule: long non-coding RNA, 1383 nt
Organism: Cucurbita pepo subsp. pepo (vegetable marrow)
Lineage: Eukaryota; Viridiplantae; Streptophyta; Magnoliopsida; Cucurbitales; Cucurbitaceae
Source: RefSeq, a predicted model, not a curated record